UUACGGCCAUAUCAGUUUGAAACACCUGUUCUCGUACGAUCUCUGAAGUUAAGCAAUGUCGAGCCUAUUCAGUAACUAGGUAAGGGACCGCUUGGGAAUACCAGU
This is a non-coding RNA of Acanthosepion pharaonis, 105 nucleotides long. Lineage: Eukaryota; Metazoa; Mollusca; Cephalopoda; Sepiida; Sepiidae. The record is from the annotation of a GenBank genome assembly.